UACGAAGGGGGCUAGCGUUGUUCGGAUUUACUGGGCGUAAAGCGCACGUAGGCGGAUUGUUAAGUCAGGGGUGAAAUCCUGGAGCUCAACUCCAGAACUGCCUUUGAUACUGGCAAUCUUGAGUCCGGAAGAGGUGAGUGGAACUCCUAGUGUAGAGGUGGAAUUCGUAGAUAUUAGGAAGAACACCAGUGGCGAAGGCGGCUCACUGGUCCGGUACUGACGCUGAGGUGCGAAAGCGUGGGGAGCAAAUGGG
RNAcentral lists this ribosomal RNA (253 nucleotides) under uncultured bacterium. Its description in RNAcentral is "partial 16S ribosomal RNA". It matches the Rfam family "Bacterial small subunit ribosomal RNA", at positions 524 to 776 of the family's 1533-position model. The record is from RNAcentral.